RNAcentral lists this ribosomal RNA (1343 nucleotides) under uncultured bacterium. RNAcentral describes it as "16S ribosomal RNA". It matches the Rfam family "Bacterial small subunit ribosomal RNA", at positions 28 to 1378 of the family's 1533-position model. The record is from RNAcentral.
GACGAACGUUGGCGGCGUGCUUAACACAUGCAAGUCGAACGGAAAGGCCCUGCUUUUGUGGGGUGCUCGAGUGGCGAACGGGUGAGUAACACGUGAGUAACCUGCCCUUGACUUUGGGAUAACUUCAGGAAACUGGGGCUAAUACCGGAUAGGAGCUCCUGCUGCAUGGUGGGGGUUGGAAAGUUUCGGCGGUUGGGGAUGGACUCGCGGCUUAUCAGCUUGUUGGUGGGGUAGUGGCUUACCAAGGCUUUGACGGGUAGCCGGCCUGAGAGGGUGACCGGCCACAUUGGGAUUGAGAUACGGCCCAGACUCCUACGGGAGGCAGCAGUGGGGAAUAUUGCACAAUGGGCGGAAGCCUGAUGCAGCAACGCCGCGUGCGGGAUGACGGCCUUCGGGUUGUAAACCGCUUUCGCCUGUGACGAAGCGUGAGUGACGGUAAUGGGUAAAGAAGCACCGGCUAACUACGUGCCAGCAGCCGCGGUGAUACGUAGGGUGCGAGCGUUGUCCGGAUUUAUUGGGCGUAAAGGGCUCGUAGGUGGUUGAUCGCGUCGGAAGUGUAAUCUUGGGGCUUAACCCUGAGCGUGCUUUCGAUACGGGUUGACUUGAGGAAGGUAGGGGAGAAUGGAAUUCCUGGUGGAGCGGUGGAAUGCGCAGAUAUCAGGAGGAACACCAGUGGCGAAGGCGGUUCUCUGGGCCUUUCCUGACGCUGAGGAGCGAAAGCGUGGGGAGCGAACAGGCUUAGAUACCCUGGUAGUCCACGCUGUAAACGGUGGGUACUAGGUGUGGGGUCCAUUCCACGGGUUCCGUGCCGUAGCUAACGCUUUAAGUACCCCGCCUGGGGAGUACGGCCGCAAGGCUAAAACUCAAAGGAAUUGACGGGGCCCCGCACAAGCGGCGGAGCAUGCGGAUUAAUUCGAUGCAACGCGUAGAACCUUACCUGGGUUUGACAUGGAUCGGGAGUGCUCAGAGAUGGGUGUGCCUCUUUUGGGGUCGGUUCACAGGUGGUGCAUGGCUGUCGUCAGCUCGUGUCGUGAGAUGUUGGGUUAAGUCCCGCAACGAGCGCAACCCUUGUUCACUGUUGCCAGCACGUUAUGGUGGGGACUCAGUGGAGACCGCCGGGGUCAACUCGGAGGAAGGUGGGGAUGACGUCAAGUCAUCAUGCCCCUUAUGUCCAGGGCUUCACGCAUGCUACAAUGGCUGGUACAGAGAGUGGCGAGCCUGUGAGGGUGAGCGAAUCUCGGGAAGCCGGUCUCAGUUCGGAUUGGGGUCUGCAACUCGACCUCAUGAAGUCGGAGUCGCUAGUAAUCGCAGAUCAGCAGCGCUGCGGUGAAUACGUUCCCGGG